UCGAACACCCCUGAGAUUUUUCUGAAUGAUUCUUCCUCCCGUAUCACUGAAGCUGUUGCUAUUUUUCUGCUUGAGAUUCUCAAAUUAACUUCCAAGUUAUAACCCGUUGUGUUUAUUGUUAGUAAUCCCAGCUGUAUUUAUGCCAAUAAAGGUUUGGAGAAAGAAAGAAAAAGCUGGGUAGACUUAACCCUUGGAACCCCCUGCCACAAGAGGGCUCCAGAAAGGGGACGGGGUGCAUUCCCAGCUGUGGAUCACCUCGAGGGUCAGCGGGCCCCAGCGGGGUGUGUGUGUGUGUGUGUGUUUAUCUCUCUCUUGACUCGUGUCACUGGGAGGGUGUCAGGAUCUGGCCUGUCGCCCCCCACUCCAGUGGGACCCCCAGCGCCCCCAGUGCUGCUGCUGCUGCUGCUGCUGCCCCCACGGCCGCUGGCUUUUUGCCCCACAUCUGGACGGCUGCCAGGAUCCCCGUUGCUCAGGUAGACAGAAAGGUGGAGAUUUUUUGGGGGGGGUUGUCUGUGGGAGAAGCCCAGUGAUGGGGGGGGAGAGGGGGAGGCUGGUUGAUCUCCUCCGAGGAAGGAG
This 576-nucleotide long non-coding RNA is filed under the name Pogona vitticeps (central bearded dragon). RNAcentral's name for it is "lncRNA (ENSPVIG00000011017.1)". Lineage: Eukaryota; Metazoa; Chordata; Lepidosauria; Squamata; Agamidae. The record is from RNAcentral.